CAAGCAACAGCAUUUGUGUAGAUCUGUCUUUACCAAGAGAUCCUGAUAGUGUCUUUCAGGAAUAUGAAAGAGGACUUUUACCAACACUACAAAUAUUUCCAUUUUUAUUCAAUCUCCUUUGGUCUGGGAUGUGGAACAGCACUAUACAGGCCCUUCUGUUCACUUAUGGUUCCAUUAGUUCUUGGUGUGUUCUUCACCAUAGUGUUUGAGAUUGUGGGCAUAAUAUCUGAUUUGCCACCCCAUACUAGGAGAUGUAAAGGACCCCC
Plectropomus leopardus (leopard coralgrouper) is the source of this 266-nucleotide non-coding RNA. NCBI's taxonomy places the organism in Eukaryota, Metazoa, Chordata, Actinopteri, Perciformes, Serranidae. The record is from RefSeq and is a predicted model, not a curated record.